RNAcentral lists this long non-coding RNA (1036 nucleotides) under Homo sapiens (human). Its description in RNAcentral is "HSALNT0177998". Lineage: Eukaryota; Metazoa; Chordata; Mammalia; Primates; Hominidae. The record is from RNAcentral.
GGUAGUCUCACUCCUGUCCAUUCACCUACAGGUUGAGUAUCCCUUAUCCAAAAUGCUUGGGGCCAGAAGUGUCUCAGAUUUAAGAUUUUUUUCGGAUUUUGGAAUAUUUGCAUAUACAUAAUGAGAUAUCUUGGGAAUGAGACCCCAGGCUAAACAGGAAAUCCAUUUAUGUUUUAUAUACACACAGCCUGAAGCAGUUUUAUAUAAUAUUUUGAAUAAUUUUAUGCAUGAAACAAAGUUUGUGCACAUUGAAGCAAGUGUGGAAUUUUCCACUUGUGGCAUUAUGUCGGUGCUAAAAAAUGUUUUAGAUUUUGGAGCAUUUUGGAUCUCAGAACUUUGCAUUAGGAAUUGAGGACUAAGUCUGAUAUUCUGUCUUACCCAGAUUCCUACCUAAGAGGUCUAGGAAGUCAUGCCCUACAAACCAUACAUUCUCAUCAGAUGGGUUUUAUUUGACCCUAUAUGUUGUGAUUUACUUUUCAAUCUGACUCUGGCAUAACAUUAUGAGACAAGGAAAAAAAUAUUUAACCCCAAAAUAUAUUUCCGUGCCAUACCUUGAAAUUGCCCUGCAAAGUCUCUUGUGGGAAAAAUCCACAUUCUAUAGAGAUUCCCCUUCCGCCUUUGUUUUCCUUCCUUUCUUUCCAGAUCCAGGAGAUAAUCAACUAAGUAAGAGCCAGGCACCCUUUUAAGUCCGAUAAGAGACAAUUUACAACUUGCUCUGUCUGAAGUCUGCUAUCUGAGAGCUUCCUCUGCACAAUAAAACUUGGUCUCUAUAAUCCUUUAUCUUUAAACUGAACAUUCCUUUCUAUGGAUCCCAGGUCUUUAGACAAACUCAAACAAUUGUCAACCAGAAAAUGUUUAAAUUUACCUAUAGCCUGGAAGCCCCCCGCUUUGAGUUGUUCUGCCUUUCUGAACCAAAUCAAUGUAUUUCUUAUAUGUAUUUGAUUGAUGUCUCAUACCUUCCUAAAAUACAUAAAACCAAGAUGUAUCCCGACCACCUUGGGCACAUGUUCUCAGGACCUCCUGAGGGCUGUGUCAC